RNAcentral lists this ribosomal RNA (253 nucleotides) under uncultured bacterium. Its description in RNAcentral is "partial 16S ribosomal RNA". It matches the Rfam family "Bacterial small subunit ribosomal RNA", at positions 524 to 776 of the family's 1533-position model. The record is from RNAcentral.
UACGAAGGGGGCUAGCGUUGCUCGGAAUCACUGGGCGUAAAGCGCACGUAGGCGGCUUUCUAAGUCAGGGGUGAAAUCCUGGAGCUCAACUCCAGAACUGCCUUUGAUACUGGAACGCUUGAGUCCGGGAGAGGUGAGUGGAACUGCGAGUGUAGAGGUGAAAUUCGUAGAUAUUCGCAAGAACACCAGUGGCGAAGGCGGCUCACUGGCCCGGUACUGACGCUGAGGUGCGAAAGCGUGGGGAGCAAACAGG